UUCCCGGCUCCUGGGCAGUGGGGAAGCCCCCGGGGGCGGGUGACCUCAGCUGGCCACGACCCAGCCCUCCCCUGAGCGUAUUUCGCUUAAGAUGGCAGCGGAGUCAGGGGAACUAAUCGGGGCUUGCGAGUUCAUGAAAGAUCGAUUAUAUUUUGCUACUUUAAGGAAUAGACCAAAAAGCACAGUAAAUACCCACUAUUUCUCCAUCGAUGAGGAGCUGGUCUAUGAAAAUUUCUAUGCAGAUUUUGGGCCUCUGAACUUGGCAAUGGUGUACAGAUACUGCUGUAAACUAAACAAGAAACUUAAACCAAAGAAAAUUUUCAAGAAUAUCCCUUUCCUGAGAAAGUUGGAGUCAUACAGCUUAUCGAGAAAGAAAAUAGUGCACUACACCUGUUUUGACCAACGGAAAAGAGCAAACGCAGCGUUUUUGAUAGGUGCUUAUGCUGUAAUCUACUUAAAGAAGACACCUGAAGAAGCCUACAGAGCACUCCUGUCUGGCUCCAAUCCCCCCUAUCUUCCAUUCAGGGAUGCUUCCUUUGGAAAUUGCACAUACAAUCUCACCAUCCUCGACUGUUUACAGGGAAUCAGAAAGGGAUUGCAACAUGGAUUUUUUGACUUUGAGACAUUUGAUGUGGAGGAAUAUGAACAUUAUGAGCGAGUUGAAAAUGGUGACUUCAACUGGAUUGUUCCAGGAAAAUUUUUAGCAUUUAGUGGACCACAUCCUAAAAGCAAAAUUGAAAAUGGUUACCCUCUUCAUGCCCCUGAAGCCUACUUCCCUUAUUUCAAAAAGCAUAACGUAACUGCAGUUGUGAGACUGAACAAAAAGAUUUAUGAGGCGAAGCGCUUCACAGACGCUGGCUUCGAGCACUAUGACCUCUUCUUCAUAGACGGCAGCACACCCAGUGAGAACAUCGUGCGAAGGUUCCUGAACAUCUGUGAGAACACCGAAGGAGCGAUUGCGGUCCACUGCAAAGCUGGCCUUGGAAGGACAGGGACGUUGAUAGCCUGUUAUGUAAUGAAGCACUACAGGUUUACACACGCCGAAAUCAUCGCUUGGAUAAGAAUUUGCCGGCCAGGCUCCAUCAUUGGGCCCCAGCAGCACUUCCUGGAGGAAAAACAAGCAUCAUUGUGGGUACAAGGAGACAUUUUCCGAUCCAAACUGAAAAAUAGACCAUCCAGUGAAGGAAGUAUUAAUAAAAUUCUUUCUAGCUUGGAUGAUAUGUCUAUUAGUGGAAGCUUAUCGAAAAUACAAAACAUGGAAAGAUUUGGAGAGAAUAAUUUAGAAGAAGAUGAAGAUGUGGAAAUGAAAAAUAAUAUAACCCAGGGAGACAAACUACGUGCCUUAAAAAGUCAGAGACAGCCACGCUCCUCACCGACCUAUGCAUUUAGGUCUGAUGAUGUGAAAGGGCUCCCGAGAGCAGUUGUGUCCCAACCUUUCAGAUUAAGUUCUUCCCAACAAGGAUCUGUGUCUACUUUGAAGACUUCAAAAGUGGCUUUGUCCCCUUCAGCAACGGCCAAGAGGAUAAGCAGAGGUUCAUCUUCAGGCACCAGCGUGAGAAGCUUUUCCAUAAACUCCCGGCUAGCCAGUUCUCUAGGGAACUUGAAUGCUGCGUCAGAUGAUCCCGAGAACAAAAAGACCUCCUCAUCCUCUAAGGCAGGUUUCACAGCCAGCCCGUUCACCAACCUCUUGAAUGGCAGCUCCCAGCCACCUGCCAGAAAUUACCCUGAGCUCAACAACAACCAGUACAACAGAAGCAACAGCAGCAGCAGCAGUGGGGGCAACCUCAACAGCCACCUGGGCCCUCACAGCACCAAGACCGAGGAGCAUGCCACCAUCCUCCGGCCCUCCUACACCGGGCUUUCUUCCUCUUCAGCAAGAUAUCUGAGCCGUUCUAUCCCUGUAAGUUCGCAGACAUCACCUCUUGGUCCUCAGAACCCUGAAUGCAACUUUUGUGCCUUGCCUUCCCAGCCAAGGUUGCCAUCAAAGAAAUUUAAUAGUGCCAAUGAAGCCUUCUGAUCAGCGCCUGCCCUCUGUGCUGUGAAACCCUAUGCACCACUUCUGCUGGCUCCUCUUCAAUCCCUUCAGUCUGAAUAUGUUCCUUACUAAGGCCUUGCUGCUCGAUGGAAGCUGUUCCUUCUUAGACAUCUGGACAAGCGAUGCGGAGGAGGGCACCAGCUUGCUGGAAGGAUGUCUCUGCCUUCUUACCUUAAAUUAGAGAGAGCACUAAGAUAACACCUUCAAAAGACUUGAAACCAGACAGCUGGUUAAUGACUACUGUAAAUGCACUGAAACUAUGUUUAUGGAGAUUUCAACACUUUUUAUGACAGUUUUAAUGUUGAAUUUGGUAUUUUGAAAGCUAUUUUUAAUGUAUUUCGGUAAUACAUUUGUUAUUACAUUUACAUGUACAGUGUUACAUUAUGUAUGUAUUGUGAACUUCAAAAGACUAUUUUGAUAAAUUUAUAAAUGUAUAAAAUUAUGUAAAAACUAGACUAUAUUUUGAUUUAGAUUUUUCCUGUUGUUUGCUACCAAAAAUUUGUAUUCUACACUUAGUUUUAGUAUGGUCUUGUCUUCAAUGAAUUAAUAAUUCCUCUCUAUUAAGAAAAAGAAAGGGAGAAAGUUUUUAGGAAGUGGUUUUUAUGUUCCCACUGUGAAUAUGACAGAUCAAUUGUGUUCUUUGGGGAUGUCAGUCUAAUUUAAAGAGUUCCUCCAAGUUUAUUUCUACCAAGAGUAGAAUCGUUUGAUAUGGCUUAUUUAGGACAAAACCCUUCUCCUUCAUUUUUGUUCUUUGAACCAUUGAGAUUAGUUUUGUAUCCUUGGAAGCUUAAAAAAAAUAACAACAUCCAGUUGAAGAUUAGAAUCUUCAUUUCAGGAUGUUUCUCCUGAAAGCAUGCUUUUUCUCUGAAAUGA
Molecule: RNA transcript, 2908 nt
Organism: Sciurus carolinensis (gray squirrel)
Lineage: Eukaryota; Metazoa; Chordata; Mammalia; Rodentia; Sciuridae
Gene: Cdc14a
Gene name: cell division cycle 14A
Exons: 17
Source: RefSeq, a predicted model, not a curated record